This 405-nucleotide ribosomal RNA is filed under the name uncultured bacterium. RNAcentral's name for it is "bacterial SSU rRNA". It matches the Rfam family "Bacterial small subunit ribosomal RNA", at positions 355 to 776 of the family's 1533-position model. The record is from RNAcentral.
UGGGGAAUAUUGCACAAUGGGCGAAAGCCUGAUGCAGCGACGCCGCGUGAAGGAUGAAGUAUUUCGGUACGUAAACUUCUAUCAGCAAGGAAGAUAAUGACGGUACUUGACUAAGAAGCCCCGGCUAACUACGUGCCAGCAGCCGCGGUAAUACGUAGGGGGCAAGCGUUAUCCGGAUUUACUGGGUGUAAAGGGUGCGUAGGUGGUAUGGUAAGUCAGAAGUGAAAACCCGGGGCUCAACCCCGUGGAUUGCUUUUGAAACUAUCAAACUAGAGUACAGGAGAGGUAAGUGGAAUUCCUAGUGUAGCGGUGAAAUGCGUAGAUAUUAGGAGGAACACCAGUGGCGAAGGCGACUUACUGGACUGCUACUGACACUGAGGCACGAAAGCGUGGGGAGCAAACAGG